AAUUAACCGCGACAGCUUCAUCUUCAACAACACCGAGUGCAUCUUUUGUGAGUUGGCCCAAAUGGUUUAGCCCACUUAUUACAUUAAACUCAAAGGGUACACCCAUUAACCUAGCAAACUUCUCCAUUCGCUGGCUUAUUUCCUUCAUCACCGAUCUUACAAUAUUAGCAGUGACCACAACAGUGAGCUUUAAGUGUGGGGUGUCAUCGUUUCGAGUGGCCAAAGCUUCGAGCAAAGUAGGCCAUUGAGUGCAAAGGGUAUUGCUUAUAUCAAUGAUGUGAAGUUUGGGCUCACCAUCUAAGGCUUCCAGGAUUGCACCAUUGGCGGCUACGU
This 333-nucleotide long non-coding RNA is filed under the name Gossypium raimondii (Peruvian cotton). RNAcentral describes it as "long non-coding RNA (GRAI_LNC009109)". Lineage: Eukaryota; Viridiplantae; Streptophyta; Magnoliopsida; Malvales; Malvaceae. The record is from RNAcentral.